RNAcentral lists this transfer RNA (77 nucleotides) under Rhizobiaceae bacterium. Its description in RNAcentral is "tRNA-Pro". It matches the Rfam family "tRNA". From Rfam's summary of the family: Transfer RNA (tRNA) molecules are approximately 80 nucleotides in length. Lineage: Bacteria; Pseudomonadati; Pseudomonadota; Alphaproteobacteria; Hyphomicrobiales; Rhizobiaceae. The record is from RNAcentral.
CGGAGUGUAGCGCAGUCUGGUAGCGCACCUCGUUCGGGACGAGGUGGUCGAAGGUUCGAAUCCUCUCACUCCGACCA